CAACCGAGGAUCUGAUCAAGUGUGUCAGUCAUGCUCUGAAACCCAGCAUCCUAAGGGGGAAACACCUCCUUGAUCGGGGUAUCUAGGGGAAGCUGGGAAGCCACCUUCUUCAGAACUGUCUGGCCCUUCUUCACCAUGGUAGACUAGAAAAAUGAAAAAAAACAAAUUAAUUUGCAUAUAAACAUAAUUAAUAUUAAUACAAAUUGAAUAUUAUAAAUGUGAAAGAACUUACAUGAAGCUGCUCUGUCAGCUCAUCCCCGGGCCGAACGUACACCUCCUUGAACAUGUCAAUUUCAGGAAACUUUGACCCCCCUUGAAAAUUUUUAAAAAGUUUUAACAUAGAUUACCAAUUCUGUAAUAAAGAGUAAAAAGAUUGAAUAAUUAAAAUAAAUAUAUAGUUACCUUACAUCGCUCCUCCAACCUCUAAGAGAAGCGUCGUGACCCGGAUCGGUAAAGAAGUUUCUUCUUCGACUGAUUGA
Molecule: long non-coding RNA, 479 nt
Filed under: Malus domestica (apple)
Lineage: Eukaryota; Viridiplantae; Streptophyta; Magnoliopsida; Rosales; Rosaceae
Description: long non-coding RNA (MDOM_LNC008123)
Source: RNAcentral